Molecule: ribosomal RNA, 414 nt
Filed under: uncultured Actinomycetes bacterium
Lineage: Bacteria; Bacillati; Actinomycetota; Actinomycetes
Description: bacterial SSU rRNA
Rfam family: Bacterial small subunit ribosomal RNA
Source: RNAcentral
GAGUUUGAUCUUGGCUCAGGACGAACGCUGGCGGCGUGCUUAACACAUGCAAGUCGAACGGUAAGGCCCCUUUGGGGUACACGAGUGGCGAACGGGUGAGUAACACGUGAGCAACCUACCCUUGACUCUGGAAUAACAGCUGGAAACAGCUGCCAAUACCGGAUACGACCUCUUGCGGCAUCGCAGGGGGUGGAAAGUUCCGGCGGUCGGGGAUGGGCUCGCGGCCUAUCAGCUAGUUGGUGGGGUAACGGCCCACCAAGGCUUCGACGGGUAGCCGGCCUGAGAGGGCGACCGGCCACACUGGGACUGAGAUACGGCCCAGACUCCUACGGGAGGCAGCAGUGGGGAAUAUUGCACAAUGGGCGCAAGCCUGAUGCAGCAACGCCGCGUGCGGGAUGACGGCCUCGGUUGUAA